Molecule: long non-coding RNA, 2069 nt
Organism: Suricata suricatta (meerkat)
Lineage: Eukaryota; Metazoa; Chordata; Mammalia; Carnivora; Herpestidae
Exons: 2
Source: RefSeq, a predicted model, not a curated record
UGAGUUUAAACAUUCACAGCCUAUCUAUUCUGCAAAGGCAAGCUCGGGAGAGGUCACCAAGGGUGUGUGCUGGAAAAUGUGCGAUUAGAUUUGUGACCAUGGAUACAAUCAAGCCUCUCAGCAGAAGGAUGAAAUAGAGGUGCCGUUAUCCAGGAAAGACCUGUGGAGAAGCCUCAUGUCAAAUGGUGUGGAUCUCCUUGGCACCCAUGAGGACUGACAGACCUAAUGUGGAGAAAUUUUACGGGACAUGAAGACUCCAAGUGCAGAAGAAGAAAUUGUAGAAGUCCUUUGGACCAUGGGAUUUUCUUUUCCCUGAGGAUAAUGUUUUGGUCUCUUAUCAUAAAUGCUGCUUGUUAAGACUGGUAAAAUAUACGUUAAGGACUAUUACUUUUGUGACCAAAUGAUUUGUAUAUACAAACUUGUAACAUUUUAGAAUCAGAACCUCCUCUCCAGCCUCAUUUGCUCCAUUUUGGGUACUUUACCAUCCAAUGUGAACACUACAGACUCAGACUUAGAGGAAGAAGUGUGGAUAUUGAUUUCCUGGAAUGUCUCCUGUCCACCCUGUGCACCUGUGUGUGCAUCUUCUGAGUGUGACGAGUCUUCCUAUAGGAGAUAUCAGUCCCCAUAAUCAGGUCCCAAAUCACAUCAAUGUCUAGAGGUCGUGCUUUUUUUUUUUUUUUUCUGGCGAAGGGAUAAAUCUUGAGAAAUGGGCUACAGAUUUUCACUACUGACACUAGAAAUAGAUAAAAGAUCUAAUAAAACUCUCUUCCCCAUCUAUCUGUGCCUGACAGGUGGCCUUUAAUCUAUGAGCAUAAAUGCAAAAUGACUCAGUUACCAUGACCAGCAGCAGCAAUACAGGUACUCUGGGUCAGCGUCUUAUAACUUGUGUGAAGAGGAUGUAAAGACUUGAUUUAAUUCCCAGAGGAAAAAAUUGGUUCUUUGGUUUGUUUUCUCCUAUCACUGCAGAAGAACACUGCCAUCAAUACAGGAAAAAAAAUCACAUCCCCAGGGAGGUCUUUCCUGAAUAUCCCAUUUCAAAUUGCAGUCCUCCUUAAUACUCUCUGUACCCCUUUCCUACUUUCUAUUUUUCUCCAUUGUACUUACCAGCACCAGGGUAGUUCAUGUUUUACUUGUUUGGUGUACAGUCUGUUCUCCCACUGGAAAGUAAGCUACGUGAGGGCAGGGGUCUUUUUGUCUUGCUCACUGCUGUAUCCCCAGUACUCAGAACAGUGUCUAGCACACUAGAGACACUUCUCUUUGAAAUAAGUGAAUGAAUGACUUCAGCUCCAUUUUCACUGAAAUCAAGGUCAUCUGACACAAGCUCCCCUAAAUUUCCCUUCAUCUCAAUGUCUGGGUCCUUAGCCAUCUUCAUCCAACCCCUCGCCAAGACUAAGCCUUCAGCUCUGUUCGUGACUAGUCUCUUGUUCUUCUUGGAUAUUGUUGCUUCAACUACUUUCUUUCAUUCAUAUUUUUUAAUGUUUCUCUUCCAAUCCAUUCCCUUCAGCCAAAUAUAGGAAUCCUACUUAAAUCUUAAUUCUCCUUGAAAUCUCUAUAGCACCUGUCAACUCUGUCCAUGUUUACCUUGAAAUUCUUUCUAUGGCUUCUGAGAUAUUUCUUGGUUUUCUGAUUGCUUGUUCUGUCGUCACUGCCUCCUCUUCUUCCUUCUGUUCCCUAAACAGACCCCAAAUCUCUACUCCUUUUCCUUACCUUCAAUUAUCUACUCUUUGUAGGUGAUGCUUAAAAUUAGUACAUCUCCUGCUCUGUUUCUUCAAUUGAGAUCCAGUCCUGCAUGUCUAUGAUUCAUUACUUAAGCCCAAAACCUUGGAGUUGAACUCUUGAGUCUUCAUAUUUCUUUCCAUCAAUGGGUUCCACCUCAAAUUUUACUGACCCCUCUCUCCUGACAAGUGUCUUUCCACCCAUGUCCCUCUACCACAACUGCUACAAGAUAGUUCCUGUCCUUAUUCUUGGCCUACUGAAGAGGCUUUCCAAUGGCUCUUUGUUUCUAUUUGCAUCAAGUUGCUUUUCUUCAACAUAUCCAGCAUCGUAAUGCUGGAUUCAUCUUUAUAAAA